RNAcentral lists this ribosomal RNA (496 nucleotides) under uncultured bacterium. RNAcentral describes it as "partial 16S ribosomal RNA". It matches the Rfam family "Bacterial small subunit ribosomal RNA", at positions 29 to 507 of the family's 1533-position model. The record is from RNAcentral.
AUGAACGCUGGCGGCGUGCCUAAUACAUGCCAGUCGCGCGAACAGACGAGGAGCUUGCUCCUCUGACGUUAGCGGCGGACGGGUGAGUAACACGUGGAUAACCUACCUAUAAGACUGGGAUAACUUCGGGAAACCGGAGCUAAUACCGGAUAAUAUAUUGAACCGCAUGGUUCAAUAGUGAAAGACGGUUUUGCUGUCACUUAUAGAUGGAUCCGCGCCGCAUUAGCUAGUUGGUAAGGUAACGGCUUACCAAGGCAACGAUGCGUAGCCGACCUGAGAGGGUGAUCGGCCACACUGGAACUGAGACACGGUCCAGACUCCUACGGGAGGCAGCAGUAGGGAAUCUUCCGCAUUGGGCGAAAGCUUGACGGAGCAACGCCGCGUGAGUGAUGAAGGUCUUCGGAUCGUAAAACUCUGUUAUUAGGGAAGAACAAAUGUGUAAGUAACUAUGCACGUCUUGACGGUACCUAAUCAGAAAGCCACGGCUAACUACGUG